GUCUAUGUUUAUUAGAUAUUUCUUUCGAUAUUGCCAAGAAGUGUGUAUUCCCGCCACCUGUCACCUGGCCUGCUCGUGUUGCUACCCAGACCAGUGAUUGGCAAUUUUCCACGUGCACAGGGACGCACUGGAGCAUAAAGGGCACAGCAUUGCCCCGUGGAGGCAGAAAAGCAGCGCGCCAUGAGGUUCCUUGUUCUCCUGCUGCCUUCACCUGCUCCCGCUGACGGGAUCUGCACGCUCAUCUCAUAAUAACAUACAAUGCCCUCUCGGAUUCCACAAUAUUUACGAUUACUGCGUACAGUUCCGCACGCAGUCUGCCACGUGGCAAGAGAUGUACAACGAGUGUUUUAACGUCGGUGCUGACAUGGUCAAGCUCGAUGACGCAAACUUCAUGUACUACCUCGUCAACUUUAUCAAAGAAAAUGGACUGGAUGGUCACCAUUACUGGAUCGGCGCCACAGACAUUGAAGAGAAGGCGUC
Molecule: long non-coding RNA, 480 nt
Organism: Penaeus monodon (black tiger shrimp)
Lineage: Eukaryota; Metazoa; Arthropoda; Malacostraca; Decapoda; Penaeidae
Exons: 4
Source: RefSeq, a predicted model, not a curated record